Molecule: ribosomal RNA, 484 nt
Filed under: uncultured bacterium
Lineage: Bacteria
Description: partial 16S ribosomal RNA
Rfam family: Bacterial small subunit ribosomal RNA
Source: RNAcentral
CUUGAACGCUGGCGGCAUUCGUUACACAUGCAAGUCGAACGUCAGCACGUGCUUCGUUCUGGUGGCGAGGGGCGGACGGGUGAGUAAUAUCUCGGCACGUACCCAGAAGCUGGCGACCACGGAUCGACAGUUACCCUACUCCCGCAUACGAUCUAUUGAUGAAAGCAGGUGACCGCAAGACCUUGUGCUCCUGCCCCGGCCGGUAUCUGAUUAGCUAGUUGGUGCGGUCAAGACUCACCAAGGCGACGAUCAGUGGCUGGUCUGAGAGGACGACCAGCCACACUGGAACUGAGACACGGUCCAGACUCCUACGGGAGGCAGCAGUGGGGAAUUUUGGACAAUGGGCGCAAGCCUGAUCCAGCAAUGCCGCGUGAGUGAAGAAGGCCUUCGGGUUGUAAAGCUCUUUUGUCAGGGAAGAAACGGUAGAGGCUAAUAUCCUUUGCUAAUGACGGUACCUGAAGAAUAAGCACCGGCUAACUACGUG